GCCGGUGGCCUAACCCCUUGUGGGAGGGAGCCGUCGAAGGUGGGACCGGCGAUUGGGACGAAGUCGUAACAAGGUAGCCGUACCGGAAGGUGCGGCUGGAUCACCUCCUUU
This 111-nucleotide ribosomal RNA is filed under the name Catenulispora pinistramenti. RNAcentral describes it as "Catenulispora sp. NL8 partial 16S ribosomal RNA". It matches the Rfam family "Bacterial small subunit ribosomal RNA", at positions 1426 to 1533 of the family's 1533-position model. The record is from RNAcentral. Lineage: Bacteria; Bacillati; Actinomycetota; Actinomycetes; Catenulisporales; Catenulisporaceae.